GAAAUCCAUGUCCUACCGAGACAAGACUUAGAACUUGAUAUCCUCUUGCCUAAUAGGCAAAAAUUGACCUCUUUAGAAAGACUGAUUCAUUCAGAUCGAUAUGACGUCCCAACUCCGUUGCAUUGCCAGAAUUCAUGUUCCAUAUUUGAAGCGGGUUCACCUAUGUGCUUCUCUCAUGGUAUAAACCUCUUCCUGUUGAGCCCUCUUUCUCUUCGGUCCAUAGAGAGAAAAAAUGUAGGACUGGUGUUGGCAGUUCAUCACAGAAGAAAGAACUCACAAAGCCGGGAUCGGUAA
This 294-nucleotide ribosomal RNA is filed under the name Triticum aestivum (bread wheat). Its description in RNAcentral is "partial small subunit ribosomal RNA". The record is from RNAcentral. Lineage: Eukaryota; Viridiplantae; Streptophyta; Magnoliopsida; Poales; Poaceae.